AUUUUAUUUGGUAGUGAAUCAAGAACUGACGUUUACUCUUUAAGUUACAUCGCUAUGUUAUUUCUGUAUAUGAAUGGCGUGCUUACUACGCAGAAUUCGGUUAGAAAUAUGUAUGAAGUGAAAAAUUCCUGCUAACUAUAUUUCCGAUAAAUGGGAGGAAAGAAAUUUUACGCUGCCCCUGGGUGUACGUCAUCCAGUAGGCAGACUGGUUUGAAACUCUUAAACUUUUCCAGAGAUUCAGUACGAUAAGUCUGUCUUAAUGGGUUUGUUAUGUGUUACAUAAUCCAGCGAAGAAGUUAAGUUUAGCUAGUGUCUGCAUUAAAUGUAUUAAACUUUACCCCUCAUCCUAGCACCGGCACCAUGACAAGUAUAAUAUUGUAACCAGCACCAUGUUUGUAAUACUUAUAGAUGAAUUAUUUCAAGGUUUUGAGACAAUAUGUAAUACUCUUACAGGGCUGUGGUAUGGACAGGAAGGGUUGGGAUAUCCUGCACCAUUGAUUCUGCUAGAAUGCUGCACUAUAAAUUUUUGUGCACUAGAAAGUGAUUUCAGUACAACUGAACAGAUUCGCAGUUCCAUGUAGAUCAGAUUCUGCAGCACAAUCACUCCCACAACCUCCUUAUCAUUACACACCAUUCCAGGAGGGUGCUGCAGUAAAUACCUGGCAACAGCAGCAUUUAUUGAGGAGACUGACAAACUCUUUGAGAGUGUAAAUGGUGGAAUGCCUUUUGACCCUAAGAAAACACUGUGUUGCCCACUGAGCGAUAACAGUCGCAAUAUAGAGCACUGGGAAAUGGCAAGUAUUGGGAUAAAGAGUUGGAUCUUCCUCAAGGAUGGUAAACCCACCUUUCUUCAACCUCCUCCUCCUCCGCAGAAUGGGUGGCUGAUUAACAUAACUGCUGCCCAGCAUGUGUGGAAGACAGUGAAAGAGGCUAACCACUACCUCACUUUUGCUGUUUGAAGUGAAUUGUGUUGUUACUGGCCCAAAUUCUGCAACUUCCACAGUGAUGCAAUUGGUCUAGAUCAGUGGUUAUCAAACUUUUUACCUUUGAGCCCCCCCUGACAAGAGAAAAUACUCUGAGGACCCACCAGCUUGUUUUUUUUUUAUCA
This is a long non-coding RNA of Cryptotermes secundus, 1108 nucleotides long. RefSeq lists it as uncharacterized. The transcript has 3 exons. Lineage: Eukaryota; Metazoa; Arthropoda; Insecta; Blattodea; Kalotermitidae. The record is from RefSeq and is a predicted model, not a curated record.